Molecule: long non-coding RNA, 1093 nt
Organism: Mesoplodon densirostris (Blainville's beaked whale)
Lineage: Eukaryota; Metazoa; Chordata; Mammalia; Artiodactyla; Ziphiidae
Exons: 4
Source: RefSeq, a predicted model, not a curated record
UUUACUGGGAGCCGCCAUUUUCCCACGUACUGCCGAACGUCGGGGGAGGGCUUCCUUUUCCUGCCUUCCGCGGAAAGGUCAAAAACGAUUCACAUUUUGAAGCCCUAAGACCCAGUGUGGCUCUAUUCAGAGAUGGGGCUCCUAAGUCUCAGGUAAUGGAUGUCCCACGAAAUGACCAUAUGCAACUCCAGGAACCUCCUCCUCGUCCUUUACUUGAUUUCUCUUGCUCCUCGAAGCCAGGACCUGUGGAGUGAAGAACACACCGAGAAGAAACACACAGGGAAGAUGAGACCAUGUGAAGACAGAAGCAGGCAUCAGUUAUGCUGCCACAAGCCAAGGAAUGCCUGGAGAAUCUGGCAGAAAAGGAGAAGGAAGUGAAUGGACAUUUGCAGGUAUGCUGGAGAUCCCUAAGAUGACGCCCAGAUUCAGUGAUUCCUUAGGACUCCCAAGAUUUAGCACAUAACUGAUUCAUUACCAUGAAAGUAUACAAGGCAAAAUCAGCAAAGGGAAAAGGUGUGGCAAAGUCUGGGGGAAAACGAGGCACAAGCUUCCAAGAGUCCUGUCUCCAUGAAGUCACAGAGGAUAUGCUCACUUCCCCAGCAACAAGUUGUGAUAACUCAUGUGAAAUGUGUUAGCUUAUUAGAGACUCGGUGCUCAUGGCUUUUAUGGGGGGGCUAUUCCUAGUACAUACCAAAAUUCCAGAAUCCCAGAGGAAGACAGGCGUUCAAGACAAACCAUAUUGUUUGAAAGAAGAGUCUUGGCACAGUGAGCCACUCCUGAUAGGGAAGAGUGGGAACCCUCCCAAAAUCUAAGUUCCCAGAUGCCAGGGAUGGCAUCUUAUCAGCAGGCCUUUCCAAGGAGAACAGUCUCAGGUCAGCUAUGUCAACUCUUUGCACAGCAAGGAGCCAAGAGUGUCUGCUACAGUAUAUUAAUACAUUAGAAAAGUCACAUGACCGCCAAAAUCAAUGCUGAGAAAAAUAUUUCAUAAAAAUCCAACAUCUAUUUCAAAUUUGAGCCCUGGGUGGGUUAGGAAUUCAUUAUUGCCUUAGCAUGAAAAAACAAAACACGACUUAUAGUUUUUAAAAAAAAUACA